Rhinichthys klamathensis goyatoka is the source of this 1297-nucleotide long non-coding RNA. RefSeq lists it as uncharacterized. The transcript has 2 exons. The record is from RefSeq and is a predicted model, not a curated record. Lineage: Eukaryota; Metazoa; Chordata; Actinopteri; Cypriniformes; Leuciscidae.
UUACAUCACAUAUGUUGCUUUCUUGAAAUGUAGGGUUUUCAACCCCCAAAUAUGAUUUAGAUCUUUUCAGGACAUUUGCAAUUGCUGCAGGCCUGACAACUGAGAGUACCAAUGAGUUUAAGUUAGGUUUUAUUUUUAUUUUCUUGACAUAAGCUUUUCUACCAAAGAUAUUUAUCAAAAUGUGCAUAUAGUUAUGUGUGAUUACUUCCACAGAUGACCUUUGUGUCUUAAAUUUACCAUCGGUUUGUCAUUUAAAAUAAAUUACUCUGCCACUAUCUUACAGCUAUACAACCCUUUACUAUAUGUGUCUCAUGAAGGCAACAGAAAAGAAACAGAAAUUGAACAUUCUGUUUUUUGGUUUAGACUGAAAAUGCAUUUACCAAUUCAGCCAUUCUGAGACUAUGUGCCUUUGGAUAAGAUCAUUUCAUAAUCACACAACUGAUAAUCAACAAAUUCAUCAUCACCUACAGAAGACAUCGUCACAUUUUAAUUCGGAAAAUUAAGGCUGUGUAAGUGGAAGAAUGAGGUCUCCAAAAUAUUGAUGCAUGCUUAAAAAAAUAGUUGAACAAAUCAUAGAUAAUUCAAUGUUUUUUUUUCAGAAAUAGUUUAGACUUUCAAAUAUUUCACAUUACUUUGUCCAUCCAGUGCACUUUCUUCACCCUCAUUAGAACAUUUGAAUCUCAAGGCCGCCAUCUUCCACUAAAUAUCAGUGCUCAUUUGUAUGGGAUAGAAUAUCGUUUCUCGCUCUGGAUUGAUUGGUUAAAGGUCAGUGGGAAUUUUCAGAUGACCCAUACCUUGGUCUUUACACAAAUGUAUUCUCAGUAACUCUUUACCAUAAGGUUGAAUGUAUUAAUCCAUUAGGUAUCAUGAACUAACAAUGAGCAACCAUAUUAAAGCAUUUUUUUAUUUAAGUUAAUUUAAGUGUACUAUUCUUCAUUGUUAAUUCCUGCUCGUUCAUAAUAAAGAUGAAUAAAUAGUUUAUGAGUUCAUGAUACCUAUAAUGUUAACAAAUUUAACCUUAUAGUAAAAUGUUACUAAAUUCUCAUCAAAACACCACUGAAGCACUAUUAAAAGAGAUGACACUGUCAAUGGCUUUGAUCCAUACCAUCAUCCCACAAUCAUGUUUAUAGUAUGGUAUGGAUCAAAUUUACACCCUGUACCAACAUAUUACACUUACAAAAUACCUCAUCCAAAAAACCUCCAAACUCACUCUCAAACUGUCCAACAUUAAAGGGAUAGUUCACCCAAAAAUGAAAAUUCUCUCAUCCUUUACUCAUCCUCAUCAUGUCAUACGACU